RNAcentral lists this ribosomal RNA (336 nucleotides) under Uroderma bilobatum (tent-building bat). RNAcentral describes it as "partial 12S ribosomal RNA". It matches the Rfam family "Bacterial small subunit ribosomal RNA", at positions 586 to 989 of the family's 1533-position model. The record is from RNAcentral. Lineage: Eukaryota; Metazoa; Chordata; Mammalia; Chiroptera; Phyllostomidae.
AACCCUAGUCAAUAGACUUACGGCGUAAAACGUGUUUAAGGACUUUCCUAAUAAAGUUAAACUUUAACUAUGCCGUAAAAAGCUACAGCUACUGUAAAAUCCAAUGCGAAAGUAACUUUAAAUUACCUGAAUACACGACAGCUAAGGCCCAAACUGGGAUUAGAUACCCCACUAUGCUUAGCCCUAAACCCAAAGAGCCUCACAACAAGGCCCUUCGCCAGAGUACUACUAGCCAAAGCUUAAAACUCAAAGGACUUGGCGGUGCUUUAUAUCCUUCUAGAGGAGCCUGUUCUAUAAUCGAUAAACCCCGAUAAACCUCACCAACUCUUGCCAACU